UAUGGCGACCGGCGCACGGGUGAGUAACACGUAUCCAACCUGCCGAUGACUCGGGGAUAGCCUUUCGAAAGAAAGAUUAAUACCCGAUGGCAUAGUUCUUCCGCAUGGUAGAACUAUUAAAGAAUUUCGGUCAUCGAUGGGGAUGCGUUCCAUUAGGUUGUUGGCGGGGUAACGGCCCACCAAGCCUUCGAUGGAUAGGGGUUCUGAGAGGAGGGUCCCCCACAUUGGAACUGAGACACGGUCCAA
This 246-nucleotide ribosomal RNA is filed under the name uncultured bacterium. RNAcentral's name for it is "partial 16S ribosomal RNA". It matches the Rfam family "Bacterial small subunit ribosomal RNA", at positions 87 to 334 of the family's 1533-position model. The record is from RNAcentral.